This 69-nucleotide transfer RNA is filed under the name Lycothrissa crocodilus (sabretoothed thryssa). Its description in RNAcentral is "tRNA-Asp". The record is from RNAcentral. Lineage: Eukaryota; Metazoa; Chordata; Actinopteri; Clupeiformes; Engraulidae.
GAGGUGCUAGUAAAACUAUUACUUUAUCUUGUCAGGAUAAAAUUGUGAGUGAAAUCCCCACGUACCUUA